Molecule: ribosomal RNA, 494 nt
Filed under: uncultured bacterium
Lineage: Bacteria
Description: partial 16S ribosomal RNA
Rfam family: Bacterial small subunit ribosomal RNA
Source: RNAcentral
GACGAACGCUGGCGGCGCGCUUAACACAUGCAAGUCGAACGGAAAGGCCUGCUUUCCCUUGUGGAUUGCGGGUACUCGAGUGGCGAACGGGUGAGUAACACGUGAGUGAUCUGCCCCCAACUUGGGUAUAAGCCUGGGAAACUGGGUCUAAUUCCCGAUAGGACUGCAGGGUGGUGCCUGUGGUGGAAAACGAUUUUCUAGUGGUUGGGGAUGAGCUCGCGGCCUAUCAGCUUGUUGGUGGGGUAAUGGCCUACCAAGGCGGCGACGGGUAGCCGGCCUGGGAGGGUGGACGGCCACAGUGGGACUGGGAUACGGCCCAGACUCCUACGGGAGGCAGCAGUGGGGAAUAUUGCACAAUGGGCGGAAGCCUGAUGCAGCGACGCCGCGUGGGGGAUGACGGCCUUCGGGUUGUAAACUCCUUUCGACCGCGAGGAAGCCACCUGGUUGGAAGGGUGGUGACGGUAGUGGUAGAAGAAGCACCGGCUAACUACGUG